GUAACUGACGCUAAAGCUCGAAAGUGCGGGUAUCGAACAGGAUUAGAUACCCUGGUAGUCCGCACGGUAAACGAUGGAUGCCCGCUGUUUGCGAUAUACAGUAAGCGGCCAAGCGAAAGCGUUAAGCAUCCCACCUGGGGAGUACGCCGGCAACGGUGAAACUCAAAGGAAUUGACGGGGGCCCGCACAAGCGGAGGAACAUGUGGUUUAAUUCGAUGAUACGCGAGGAACCUUACCCGGGCUUGAACUGCAGGCGAACGAUACAGAGAUGUUGAGGCCCUUCGGGGCGCCUGUGGAGGUGCUGCAUGGUUGUCGUCAGCUCGUGCCGUGAGGUGUCGGCUUAAGUGCCAUAACGAGCGCAACCCCUUUCGUCAGUUGCCAUCAGGUGAUGCUGGGCACUCUGGCGACACUGCCACCGUAAGGUGUGAGGAAGGUGGGGAUGACGUCAAAUCAGCACGGCCCUUACGUCCGGGGCUACAUACGUGUUACAAUGGGUGAUACAGAGCGUCGGCGCUUGGCAAUAAGCGUCCAAUCGUGAAAGUCAUCCUCAGUUCGGAUUGGGGUCUGCAACCCGACCCCAUGAAGCUGGAUUCGCUAGUA
This 600-nucleotide ribosomal RNA is filed under the name uncultured bacterium. RNAcentral's name for it is "bacterial SSU rRNA". It matches the Rfam family "Bacterial small subunit ribosomal RNA", at positions 736 to 1340 of the family's 1533-position model. The record is from RNAcentral.